AAUCUUGCGCAAUGGGCGAAAGCCUGACGCAGCCAUGCCGCGUGAAUGAUGAAGGUCUUAGGAUUGUAAAAUUCUUUCACCGGGGACGAUAAUGACGGUACCCGGAUCAGAAGCCCCGGCUAACUUCGUGCCAGCAGCCGCGGUAAUACGAAGGGGGCUAGCGUUGCUCGGAAUUAAUGGGCGUAAAGGGGGCGUAGGCGGAGCGUUAAGUCAGAGGUGAAAUCCCAGGGGUCAACCCUGGGACUGUCUUUGAUACUGGCGAUUUUGAGUAUGAGAGAGGUAUGUGGAACUUCGGGUGUAUAGGUGAAAUUCGUAGAUAUUCGGAAGAACACCAGUGGCGAAGGCGACAUACUGGCUCAUUACUGACGCUGAGGCGCUAAAGCGUGGGGAGCAAACAG
Molecule: ribosomal RNA, 398 nt
Filed under: uncultured bacterium
Lineage: Bacteria
Description: partial 16S ribosomal RNA
Rfam family: Bacterial small subunit ribosomal RNA
Source: RNAcentral